UCGGCAACGACCACCCAGGGCCGGAAAGCUAUCCAAACUCGGUCAUUUAGAGGAAGUAAAAGUCGUAACAAAGGUCUCCGUUGGUGAACCAGCGGAGGGAUCAUUA
RNAcentral lists this non-coding RNA (106 nucleotides) under Neurospora tetrasperma FGSC 2509. Its description in RNAcentral is "Eukaryotic small subunit ribosomal RNA". It matches the Rfam family "Eukaryotic small subunit ribosomal RNA", at positions 1728 to 1831 of the family's 1831-position model. Lineage: Eukaryota; Fungi; Ascomycota; Sordariomycetes; Sordariales; Sordariaceae. The record is from Rfam by way of RNAcentral.